GCUGGCUCUGCUCACUUAACCCUUUGAGGGUCGAUUUUUUUCACCAUAUGCGACCGCCCAGGGUCGAUUUUUUUUAUAACAGAUUCCGAUUCUUUCUAGGGACUUAUUUCGAAAAAAAGUUACCAUAAUUUUUCUAGGGUGACCGUAAAGUGAGAAAAAAAUAUUUUGCGUUGGUAUAUAUGCACUCUUCAUUCAUUAAUAACAAUAAAAAAAGGAAAUAAACUUAUCAGAAUUAAAAAUUUGAUGCAUUUUUAUGCACAUAGUCCAAGGCUUUGAAAAUCCGCACACGAGAAUAUUUCGCAAGCCUCAAAUGUACCUGCUCUUACACUAAUACGUACGUCCAUAGCGUAAUCGAACUGCGUAGGUGCGCGCACUCAAGAAAAAUAUUUGGUUGUGUGCCCAUCAAGAAAAGCAACACGUGUGACAAACUUCUGCUAAUCUUCAUGUUAUCGCCAACCAGCUAGGGCAAUUAGUUUUCGCGAGUCUUAAAAUAAAGAAAAGAAACGGAAACGCAUGUACAGCGGCAUCUUUCCUAUGCGCACUCCUGUGAGCGCUAAACGAGCGAGAAACAAGUGGUCGCCCUUUCAGCGAUUAGGAACGAAAUAGCCAUCAGUUUCGCAAGCGCAAAAAGACAAAACCGCCCACGAAACAAAAUCCAAACAGCCGCCCGCGCACACCCCAACGCACGAGCGGUAGUAUAUAGACGCGUGGGAGCAAACAAGCGCUAAAACAAACCAUGCAACGAAAACCGAGAGAGGGAGGCGCGCGAAAAAAAUUCCGUGUAUCCCUACAUAGUGGCAGCACAUGACAAAAAAGAAAAAGUUAAGAAAUUGGCGCACUUUUUAAACGUACAGACGGCGCUGUAAAUACACGGCAUCGACCAUUUUCGGACUUGUUCACGGCUCCGUAUAUUUACGUCAUUGACCGUCAAAGGGUUAAAGACCCCACUGCAUGAUUGGGUAGAUGGGCGCUAUGGCUCCAAGAAUAUUCAUUUGCUGUUUCAUGCGAGUCAGGCCGUUUGCACAAGGACGCCGACUGCCUCCCCCGUGAUCCUGUCGACCGGCUUGAAUAUGAUGCGCAUGACACCGACUCUUGCAAUCUAGCCAUUUCUAAUCUGUGCAACAUCUGCACUGAACAACGGCGUGAUGACUGCUUACAUGUUCUCAUUGAUCGUCUCGAUUCUGGACAUUCGGAGCCCACGCUGCCCAUGUUCGUGCUCCACAACAACAUUCUCUACUGUCGCAGCUUACACCCUGAAGGACCAGAAUUUUCACUCCUUGUACCACGCCAUCUCCAAACAUCAGUUCUUGAGCCGUUGCAUGACGCCCCUACUGCAGGCCACCUCGGCGUUUCGCGUACUUACAACCGCGUACGGCACCACUUCUGCUGGCCAGGCCUGUACCACUUUGUGCUCCACUACAUUGCAGCCUGUGUGCUCUGUCAGCACUGCAAAAAACCUGCUGUGCUGCCUCCUGGACACCUUCACCCUAUCAAUGUGCCCUCAGAACCAUUCUUUCAAGUUGGUCUCGAUCUGCCCGGCCCUUUUCCGACGUCAAAAUCUGGCAAUAAGUGGGUUGUCCACCUGAAUUUCCGCAGUACUGCAACUGUGUGCAUCUUAAUACUUGAUAUCCAGUCACAAUAAGUAUGACGACAUUAAAUGUUUCUUUAGCGAGGUUAAAAUUUGUGUUUGAUAUUGUGAUGUUUACGGAAAUGUAGUUUACUUGUGAAGAGGAUGUGUUUGAAAUAUACGGGUAUAAGUCUUACUUUGUUAACCACUAUUACAAGCGUGGUUAGAAUCCCGGUGCUGCACAAUUUUGCACCAGAUUUUAAAAAAAUCCGCGUGUUGAUAAAAUUGCAUAAACAGGCCUGGAGUGUGGCCUGAUCCCGGUGACCGGAACUGGUAACGCACUCCCUCACCAGAGCAGGAUUGGCCACCCUGGUGCAGUACUUGGCCACAACCUCCUAUAUGAAUAGAACAAUCAAACCCCGGCCCUCAGUCCCCAGUAGCUGCGAAGCAACUGACCAUGGCGGCGGUCAGGCCUGUGACGCAGCAGAGGGUGCUAAGAAUACCUGGGUCUGAACAGGCCGCCAUUGGAACCUGAACCUAGCAACGUUUAACGCUAGACCGUUAUCUAGUGACGCGAGUCUAGCAGUGCUAUUGGAGGAAUUAGAGGGCAGUAAAUGGGAUAUAAUAGGGCUCAGUGAGGUAAGGAAGACACAAUAAGCAUAUACAGUGCUAAAAAGUUGGCACGUUCUGUGCUACCGCGGCUUAGCGGAGAGACGAGAACUAGGAGUCGGAUUCCUGAUUAAUAAGGAUAUAGCUGAUAACAUACAGGAAUUCUAUAGCAUUAGCGAGAGGGUGGCAGGUCUUGUUGUAAAACUUAACAAGAGGUACAAAUUGAAGGUCGUACAGGUCUACGCCCCUACAUCCAGUCAUGAUGACCAGGACGUCGAAAGCUUCUAUGAAGACGUGGAAUCGGCGAUGGAUACAGUCGAAACCUGCAAUAACGAAAUCCUGCAACAACGAAAUUCUCAUGACAACGAAAUAUUUUCGUAUCCCCGGCGAACGCCCAUAGGGUUCCAUUCUUUUCAUACCUCUCGACAACGACAUGUCGCUGUACUACAAUCCCGCAUCAACGAAAUUUGCUGGAACGUAUACAAUCACUUUCGCGCUCGGCACCGGGUGUGUCAGCGCCUGCAGGCGACAGCAUGCGCUGGAGAAAUGCUGCUGCAAGUGUGAACCGCUGUUGCUCCUCGGCAGUGCGGUUCUAUGUCCUCGAGCAAGCUUGCCAAAGUAGGCUAACAGAAUUUUGAUGGCGCGGGCACUGCUAGUGGGAACACGGCAGCCCGUGGCCGCAGAGCGCCACGAACACGAAGUCUUGGCAGGUGACUCACGACAACUCCCUGGGCUUUUUGCCAAUUGCUUGGAUUGCGCCUCCACCGCAAGACUUCAUGAGGUGCAUGUCACUGCGCAAUGCCAUGGGAUUCGUGUUCCUACUAGCAGUGACCGUGCCUGUACAUGUGUGGAAUUGAUACCACUGUAUGCCAUGCUCUAGUGCACGAACCCAGUCAAGUCUUUUCAGGCUUUUUGUCCAUGCUCCAAACAUCAGACAGAUGUUGAAUAAAGCUGAAUUGAAUAACUGCAUAGUCAGCAUCCGUGACCGAGUCGUCCACAGCAAUAGCGGCAAACAGUAGUUGCAUUCUGACUUGGUGCGCGCGUCGGCCACGAGCCUUCAAAACUGCAAGGUCCCCCCAUCCAAGAUCACGUCUAUAGUGGCCACAGUUUCUUCUGCAGCAUUUACGCCAAACAGUAGUUUCUUGCUAAACAUGUUUUGGGCGCUAAGUAAGGAGCAUGAAUAAAGGGGGACAGGUAGGAGACAAAGGUUCAUUUUGACUCUGUUUGUGUGCCUUCGAAACUGCAUAGUUACCAUCCAUUAUUGCAUUGAUAGCGACUGCGCUUUCGUCCACAGUUGUUGCAGCAAAUGGUAGUUUCACUUUGACACGGUGCGUGCAUUGGCCGUGUGCCUUCAUGAUUGCAUCGACAGCGGCUGCAGUUUCUGUUGAUUCCGAGUUAGCAGUCGGCGACUGUAUAUAUAUCCAUAAAUAUAUCCACCAAACCAACAGCCAGGCAGCCAGGCCAACCAGGGGAAUGUUGGCAAAGAAAGCUCUGCUUAAAAUCAGGCAUCCAAAAAAUCAGUGAGUGACUGCAUUGCAAAAUAAUGGGUGAAAUUUCGCCCAUUCUUUGUGGCACGUGAAUGUAAAGAACUUGUAGCCUGAAAUAUUGGACAUCUGUGGCUUAUGAGGCUGGAAGGCUGUGUGUGUGCCCAUGUGUCUACAGCCACCACUAGUAGUACAAUCCGGCUGUGAUUUCAAAUCCCUACCAGUCCUGUUAUCACCUACAGUUGUUUGACAGCAAUGGCCACAUGUGCAAAUUUGCUCUUUAUGUGUGCCUUUGUGCCAGUCACAGUCACGAUAACCUUGAAUAUUGGGGAACAGGUGACUUAAACCUGAGCUUGAUCAUCAGGUCAGCAAAGUAUGCGAGUAAUUCAAGUUCCUGAGACAACUUAUUGUAGAUAAUGUUUGGUGACAGUGUGAAAUGGCAGAUGUGCAGAUUAUGGGAAACAAUUAUGUAAGUGCUUGCUCCCUGCUUUACUGACAGCAGCCAGCGUUAUCAGCGAGCUUUAAGCGUAGCAUGCAUGAUAGCUCAGGUUACAUCAGAGAAGUCUUGUCAGCAUGCACUCAAGGAUCACUGAUUUGCUUCUGCAUUGCACUGCCGCAUUUCAUUUUGCUGCAGGUGGAACGUGCUCCGCGCUGCUGUGGCAUGCAGUCUUGCUGAUGACACACUGUCAGUACGAUGCGAAUAAAGUACAGCUGGGCACACGCUCGUGUGAUGUUUAAGGAAUGUCGGGUUUGUGUGAACAUGUGCGCUCCUGGCAGAGAUGAUUUCACUUGAAUUCUCUUUCGUGGGGAGUCCUUCCACUUUGUUUUUGCCAUUCACCAGCAUAAACUAAUUAGUGGAUGUACUGCUUGCAAAUGUAGGCAAUUUCUUUUGUUGGAUUAAAUUUUUUACUUCAAUGUGCAUGUUUUGGCUGUGACAAUGUUUAAACUAUCGGAUAAUUUUUGCCAUUCUCAUGAGAUUCAUUGUAUUGAUAUUUCACUGCACAUUGGUUGGCUUUGGAGAAAGGAAUUGAUUACGAAUAAUUAAUUAUUACUUUCUUCGGUAAACACAGUAGUAGGCUGUGGAUCUAGAAAGCUGGAAAAUAAAGACUUUUUUUUUUUUUUUUUUUUACUCUGUGCUGACCCAGCCUUGUAUUUUGCAGGAUGUAAGUGUGUCACGAAUUUCAGUGUUCCAGUAAUGCAAAUGCAUUACUGGAAAUGCAGAUGCAAAUGCAGUAAUGCAAAUGCAUUAAAAACAUUUAUUCCCAAAAACAAUUCUAAUGAAGUAAACCGAGCAGCAAAGUAAGCUCGCAUAGCUUAAAUCAUAUUCACACAAGAGAAAUUCAUAAAACUAGCUACUAUAUACGUAGAACCAAACUAGCCCUUGGCUAUAUACUGUCCCUCCGGUCAACUAAACAAGUAACACGAAGUCACAAGAAACCGAACGUUCUGACCGUCACCAGUGGUGUCAGACGGAGGUCCAGUGUGGCAUAUGACAUUGGCCUGCAUGGUUCCGACGUGGUAUGGGUGUGGUCCUCAGACCUGCAUGGCACAGGACUCGGUCUAGGCCAGUCGGCCAUUGUGCUGCUGACGUGACCAGGUGAUUGCCCCACCGUGGCACGGGAUAGUCGCUGGUUAUAACAGUGUGGGGUUUGACUGGCGCCAUGGAGCACUGCCACGGCGAUAUCGUCGGGGCUCAGGCCCUAGAGCUGUCGCCGGCCAACUCUUGGACAUCCCCUCACCAGUCCGUGGUCCUCGAAGCUGUCGUUUCCCGUCUCCAGAGCACAGCUGGAGAUGUGUCUGCACUGCUCCUCAUCCACAGCCCAGCCACCUUCGCCUCCUUUUCUCCUCAUUUUUUUCUCACCCACUUCACAUGCUUCUAGCGUCACUUGUUCACUCUCACCGAGUGGCAUUGUCGUCUUCUUCGCAUAUGACAAAAUGUGUUGGGUAAAGGGCAGUGAUUGCAUAUUAGUGAGGACCCGGAUCGCGCACACCUUGUUGACAGGCCAACUUAGUAGCCCCCACUAGGAAGCGGGGGGGGGGGGGGGGGUAAAACCCGAUAAAUUCAUUCUAGUGCUCUCACAAUAAACAGCAGCAGGAUGAGCAUAGCCAAGAGGUACUGGCCACAAUUGAAGUUGGAGGAGGCAUGUGCAUAAAAAUCAGGGUUAUACCAUCAGGAUAAAAAUCAGGGUUAUACCAUCAGGGAAAACUUGGAAUUUUCAGGGAAGUAACUGGGGCUUUUCACCUCUGCUUUGAAUCGAGGACACUGCUACCCACAGGUUACAGUUAACAUAGUGGUGCGGCAGAAGGAAAUGAUGGCCUCAACCAAAUCUAUGCAGUCCGCAAAUUGUGUUUUUUGCUGGUUUUGUGAGCGUGAAUCUGGCCUUGUGGCUGGAACAAGCAUGAAACACAGCGCUAAUAAGUGCCAUGUUUAUUUUUUGUGUCUUCCAUGCUGUGCUCAUUUUGCCAUUAAUGGUCAACUUGUCCAAGCCCUUGUCAGCCUUACAAAACACAUCAUUCAGUCUGAUGAUGUAUAGCAUUUUAUGGCACAAAGGCCAGAUAGAAUUCAAUCGAAUCUGAUUGUGCAUUUCAACUGACUAAUCUCUUGCUGGUUCAGAGUUAUGCACUGGCAGUAACUUGGUUAGCUAUAAACCACCAUUUCUUUAUUGUGCUGAAAACUCCAGAGAUUAUAAACUGCCAGAUAAUUUUUGUCACAACUGUCAGGGAAAACCUGGAAAAAUUGGGGAAAUUGAAAAUGACAACAUAAUGGGCACUACAAAAUCCAUAGAUGGCAUAGAAAAAGCAUUUUCAGAAUUUACAAGAGUUAUUUCUCAUGCAAGCAGGUUGCUCACAGCGCAAUAAGUUCAUUGUGAAAGAGCUGCUUGGUCCCUAUGGGGAAC
Molecule: long non-coding RNA, 6557 nt
Organism: Dermacentor andersoni
Lineage: Eukaryota; Metazoa; Arthropoda; Arachnida; Ixodida; Ixodidae
Source: RefSeq, a predicted model, not a curated record